UGGAAAGUUUUUCGGUCAGGGAUGGGCUCGCGGCCUAUCAGCUUGUUGGUGGGGUAACGGCCUACCAAGGCGAUUACGGGUAGCCGGCCUGAGAGGGCGACCGGCCACACUGGGACUGAGACACGGCCCAGACUCCUGCGGGAGGCAGCAGUGGGGAAUAUUGCGCAAUGGGCGAAAGCCUGACGCAGCGACGCCGCGUGGGGGAUGACGGCCUUCGGGUUGUAAACCUCUUUUACCACCAACGCAGGCUCGAAGUUCUCUUCGGGUUGACGGUAGGUGGGGAAUAAGGACCGGCUAACUACGUGCCAGCAGCCGCGGUAAUACGUAGGGUCCGAGCGUUGUCCGGAAUUAUUGGGCGUAAAGAGCUCGUAGGCGGCGUGUCGCGUCUGCUGUGAAAGACCGGGGCUUAACUCCGGUUCUGCAGUGGAUACGGGCAUGCUAGAGGUAGGUAGGGGAGACUGGAAUUCCUGGUGUAGCGGUGAAAUGCGCAGAUAUCAGGAGGAACACCGGUGGCGAAGGCGGGUCUCUGGGCCUUACCUGACGCUGAGGAGCGAAAGCAUGGGGAGCGAACAGGAUUAGAUACCCUGGUAGUCCAUGCCGUAAACGUUGGGCGCUAGGUGUGGGGACUUUCCACGGUUUCCGCGCCGUAGCUAACGCAUUAAGCGCCCCGCCUGGGGAGUACGGCCGCAAGGCUAAAACUCAAAGGAAUUGACGGGGGCCCGCACAAGCGGCGGAGCAUGUUGCUUAAUUCGACGCAACGCGAAGAACCUUACCAAGGUUUGACAUCACCCGUGGACUCGCAGAGAUGUGAGGUCAUUUAGUUGGCGGGUGACAGGUGGUGCAUGGCUGUCGUCAGCUCGUGUCGUGAGAUGUUGGGUUAAGUCCCGCAACGAGCGCAACCCUUGUUCCAUGUUGCCAGCACGUAAUGGUGGGGACUCAUGGGAGACUGCCGGGGUCAACUCGGAGGAAGGUGGGGAUGACGUCAAGUCAUCAUGCCCCUUAUGUCUUGGGCUGCAAACAUGCUACAAUGGCCGGUACAAUGGGCGUGCGAUACCGUAAGGUGGAGCGAAUCCCUAAAAGCCGGUCUCAGUUCGGAUUGGGGUCUGCAACUCGACCCCAUGAAGGUGGAGUCGCUAGUAAUCGCGGAUCAGCAACGCCGCGGUGAAUACGUUCCCGGGCCUUGUACACACCGCCCGUCACGUCAUGAAAGUCGGCAACACCCGAAACUUGCGGCCUAACCCCUUGUGGGAGGGAGUGA
Molecule: ribosomal RNA, 1258 nt
Filed under: Actinomycetes bacterium
Lineage: Bacteria; Bacillati; Actinomycetota; Actinomycetes
Description: bacterial SSU rRNA
Rfam family: Bacterial small subunit ribosomal RNA
Source: RNAcentral